Molecule: ribosomal RNA, 449 nt
Filed under: uncultured bacterium
Lineage: Bacteria
Description: bacterial SSU rRNA
Rfam family: Bacterial small subunit ribosomal RNA
Source: RNAcentral
GUGGGGAAUUGUUCGCAAUGGGCGCAAGCCUGACGACGCAACGCCGCGUGGAGGAUGAAGGUCUUCGGAUUGUAAACUCCUGUUGCCCGGGACGAAAUGUUCAGACCUAACACGUCUGAGUUUGACGGUACCGGGUGAGGAAGCCCCGGCUAACUCUGUGCCAGCAGCCGCGGUAAUACAGAGGGGGCAAGCGUUGUUCGGAAUUACUGGGCGUAAAGGGCGCGUAGGCGGCCCUCUAAGUCGAACGUGAAAUCCCUGGGCUCAACCCAGGAACUGCGUCCGAGACUGGGGGGCUUGAAUCCGGGAGAGGGAUGUGGAAUUCCAGGUGUAGCGGUGAAAUGCGUAGAUAUCUGGAGGAACAUCGGUGGCGAAGGCGGCAUCCUGGACCGGUAUUGACGCUGAGGCGCGAAAGCCAGGGGAGCAAACGGGAUUAGAUACCCGAGUAGUCC